GAUGAACGCUAGCGGGAGGCCUAACACAUGCAAGCCGAGCGGUAUGGGUAGCUUGCUACCCAGAGAGCGGCGUACGGGUGCGUAACACGUGUGCAACCUGCCCCUAUCCGGGGGAUAGCCCUCCGAAAGGAGGAUUAAUACCCCAUAAUAUAUCUGGUGGCAUCACUAGAUAUUGAAAACCCCGGUGGAUAGGGAUGGGCACGCGCAAGAUUAGAUAGUUGGCGGGGUAACGGCCCACCAAGUCGAUGAUCUUUAGGGGUCCUGAGAGGGAGAUCCCCCACACUGGUACUGAGACACGGACCAGACUCCUACGGGAGGCAGCAGUGAGGAAUAUUGGACAAUGGGUGGAAGCCUGAUCCAGCCAUCCCGCGUGAGGGACGACGGCCCUAUGGGUUGUAAACCUCUUUUGUACGGGGAUAAACCUAUCUACGUGUAGAUAGCUGAAGGUACCGUACGAAUAAGCACCGGCUAACUCCGUG
Molecule: ribosomal RNA, 479 nt
Filed under: uncultured bacterium
Lineage: Bacteria
Description: partial 16S ribosomal RNA
Rfam family: Bacterial small subunit ribosomal RNA
Source: RNAcentral